Molecule: ribosomal RNA, 253 nt
Filed under: uncultured bacterium
Lineage: Bacteria
Description: partial 16S ribosomal RNA
Rfam family: Bacterial small subunit ribosomal RNA
Source: RNAcentral
UACGUAGGGUGCGAGCGUUGUCCGGAAUUAUUGGGCGUAAAGAGCUUGUAGGUGGUUUGUCGCGUCUGCUGUGAAAAUCCGAGGCUCAACCUCGGGCCUGCAGUGGGUACGGGCAGACUAGAGUGCGGUAGGGGAGAUUGGAAUUCCUGGUGUAGCGGUGGAAUGCGCAGAUAUCAGGAGGAACACCAAUGGCGAAGGCAGAUCUCUGGGCCGUAACUGACGCUGAGGAGCGAAAGCAUGGGGAGCGAACAGG